UACAGAGGGUGCGAGCGUUAAUCGGAAUUACUGGGCGUAAAGCGUGCGUAGACGGUUUCGUAAGUCGGGUGUGAAAUCCCCGGGCUUAACCUGGGAAUGGCGAUGGAGACUGCGAGGCUAGAGUUUGGCAGAGGGGGGUAGAAUUCCACGUGUAGCAGUGAAAUGCGUAGAGAUGUGGAGGAACACCGAUGGCGAAGGCAGCCCCCUGGGUCAAAACUGACGCUCAUGCACGAAAGCGUGGGGAGCAAACAGG
Molecule: ribosomal RNA, 253 nt
Filed under: uncultured bacterium
Lineage: Bacteria
Description: partial 16S ribosomal RNA
Rfam family: Bacterial small subunit ribosomal RNA
Source: RNAcentral